Molecule: ribosomal RNA, 468 nt
Filed under: uncultured bacterium
Lineage: Bacteria
Description: partial 16S ribosomal RNA
Rfam family: Bacterial small subunit ribosomal RNA
Source: RNAcentral
GACGAACGCUGGCGGCGUGCUUAACACAUGCAAGUCGAACGGAAAGGCCCUGCUUUUGUGGGGUGCUCGAGUGGCGAACGGGUGAGUAACACGUGAGUAACCUGCCCUUGACUUUGGGAUAACUUCAGGAAACUGGGGCUAAUACCGGAUAGGAGCUCCUGCUGCAUGGUGGGGGUUGGAAAGUUUCGGCGGUUGGGGAUGGACUCGCGGAUUAUCAGCUUGUUGGUGGGGUAGUGGCUUACCAAGGCUUUGACGGGUAGCCGGCCUGGGAGGGUGACCGGGCACAAUGGGACUGAGAUACGGCCCAGACGGCUACGGGAGGCAGCAGCGGGGAAUAUUGCACAAUGGGCGGAAGCCUGAGGCAGCAACGCCGCGUGCGGGAUGACGGCCUUCGGGUUGUGAACCGCUUUCGCCUGUGACGAAGCGUGAGUGACGGUAAUGGGUAAAGAAGCACCGGCUAACUACGUG